RNAcentral lists this ribosomal RNA (253 nucleotides) under uncultured bacterium. Its description in RNAcentral is "partial 16S ribosomal RNA". It matches the Rfam family "Bacterial small subunit ribosomal RNA", at positions 524 to 776 of the family's 1533-position model. The record is from RNAcentral.
GACAGAGGGUGCAAGCGUUGUUCGGAAUCAUUGGGCGUAAAGCGCACGUAGGCGGUUCUGUAAGUCGGAUGGGAAAGCCCUGGGCUUAACCCAGGAAGUGCAUCCGAUACUGCAAGACUUGAGUCCCGGAGAGGGUGGUGGAAUUCCUGGUGUAGAGGUGAAAUUCGUAGAUAUCAGGAGGAACACCGGUGGCGAAGGCGACCACCUGGACGGAGACUGACGCUGAGGUGCGAAAGCGUGGGGAGCAAACAGG